CCCGUCACACCAUGGGAGUUGGUUUCACCCGAAGGCAGUGCGCUAACUCGCAAGAGAGGCGAGCUGACCACGGUGGGAUCAGCGACUGGGGUG
This 93-nucleotide ribosomal RNA is filed under the name uncultured bacterium. Its description in RNAcentral is "partial 16S ribosomal RNA". The record is from RNAcentral.